Molecule: transfer RNA, 67 nt
Filed under: Marmota monax (woodchuck)
Lineage: Eukaryota; Metazoa; Chordata; Mammalia; Rodentia; Sciuridae
Description: tRNA.Val
Rfam family: tRNA
About the family: Transfer RNA (tRNA) molecules are approximately 80 nucleotides in length. Their secondary structure includes four short double-helical elements and three loops (D, anti-codon, and T loops).
Source: RNAcentral
GGUUAUGGCUCAAUGGUAGAGUGCUCGCCUCACACGUGUAAGGCCCUGGGUUCGAUCCUCAGCACCA